GUGCUCGCUUCAGCAGCACAUACACUAAAACUGGAACGAUACAGAGAAGAUUAGCAUGGGCCCUGCGCAAGGAUGAUACGCAAAUUCGUGAAGCGUUCCAUAUUUUU
Molecule: small nuclear RNA, 107 nt
Organism: Heterocephalus glaber (naked mole-rat)
Lineage: Eukaryota; Metazoa; Chordata; Mammalia; Rodentia; Bathyergidae
Source: Ensembl